Molecule: small RNA, 134 nt
Filed under: Salmonella enterica
Lineage: Bacteria; Pseudomonadati; Pseudomonadota; Gammaproteobacteria; Enterobacterales; Enterobacteriaceae
Also listed under: 1 other name
Description: RtT sRNA
Rfam family: RtT RNA
About the family: This family represents a bacterial cis-regulatory element known as RtT RNA. The exact function of RtT is unknown although it is thought that it may be involved in changing the cellular response in relation to amino acid starvation.
Source: RNAcentral
UGUCUCUGAAGUCUGACGAGGAUGAGAACCUCCGGGGGCAAGAGGUUCGACUCGAGCGAAGCGAGAAAACGUUGCGUCAGCAACGGCCCGCAGGGCGAGCCACGCAGUGGCGAGUCAUCCUCUAUCACCGACCA